CUCGUGUUGUGAAAUGUUGGGUUAAGUCCCGCAACGAGCGCAACCCUUAUCCUUUGUUGCCAGCGGUUCGGCCGGGAACUCAAAGGAGACUGCCAGUGAUAAACUGGAGGAAGGUGGGGAUGACGUCAAGUCAUCAUGGCGCCUUACGAGUAGGGCUACACACGUGCUACAAUGGCGUAUACAAAGAGAAGCGACCUCGCGAGAGCAAGCGGACCUCAUAAAGUACGUCGUAGUCCGGAUUGGAGUCUGCAACUCGACUCCAUGAAGUCGGAAUCGCUAGUAAUCGUAGAUCAGAAUGCUACGGUGAAUACGUUCCCGGGCCUUGUACACACCGCCCGU
Molecule: ribosomal RNA, 339 nt
Filed under: uncultured Serratia sp.
Lineage: Bacteria; Pseudomonadati; Pseudomonadota; Gammaproteobacteria; Enterobacterales; Yersiniaceae
Description: bacterial SSU rRNA
Rfam family: Bacterial small subunit ribosomal RNA
Source: RNAcentral